AAAAUGCAGUUUUGCUGUUGAAACGCACGCAUGCGAGACAGAAGACAGAGUUUUGAAAUCGCAAUAAAGUGUGUAAGAAGUGGUCGCGAAUCGCAAAACGGUGUUUCUGAGCUUUGUGAGACGGCAAUUAAAAAGUUAGGGUUCCAAAGGGACAAUGAUAGUUAAGGUAGAGGGAGCGAUUGCAGAUUCUCGGCAGCGCGAGCGGUUGCAGAGCGGAAAGCCAUGAAGCAAGGUUAGAUUGAAUAGCGUUAGUUGACAAAUCAUCAGUUUUCGAUGAACCCAGAUUUGCAAUUAAAUCGGAGCCGUCGUUCUAGGGAGUAACAGAGGAAGAGGAAAAAUGUUUAAUUGGGGAACUGUAUGCAUGAGUUGAAUAUUUUAGCAUGAAACUAGGAACUAGCCAAGUGUAGGACUGUUUAUUGAAACAUCUGAUGGAGAACAUACGGUUGUGGGGGAGACAAUGAAUAGUGAUUUGUAAGAGAUGCCUAUACUAUAUGAAUAAAUUAAAUAGUAUACUUAUCCGGUAACACUUGAAAUAGGUUUUAUUUUUAGGUGAGCUCUGAAAUAUAGUCAUUUGCACUUCUGUUAUUGUGUUGUUUGAUGUGCAAGGGUUAUUAGCCUAUAUGUGAAAUGGUAGGAGUAUAUUAGAAAAUUUUGUGUUGUGAUUACAUUUAUGGUAAGGGUAGAUGUAACAUAACAUCGUCUAUAAUACUCGUUUUAAGUAUGGUGGAAAGUGACAUAUGAUUCAAAGGUUUGCUUAUUAUAUAUGGUAGAAGUGCAUAGUAUAGUUAUACUAAAUUUAUCCAAAUAGGUGAAAUGGGGCAAAGAACUUCGGCCUUCAGCCAUGGUUUUGAUUUAGGUAAUUUGUUGUAUGUUGUGAAUGCACUUGCUGUGGGGUAGCAAGUGCCAUAUACCGUGAAGUCAUUCUUAUACUUUAUGGCUGCCGUUUAUAGUCUAGUUACCCGAUUUUCCCACCCCCCCCCUCCCAAAAAUAUCAUCUAGUUAAUGGAGACCAAUAGCAAUGGUAUUUAUAAUAUAGUAUUACCGUUCACAUAUGUGUGAACAAACACGAAACUGAAGUCUAUUCUAUGAUGGAUAGGUAAAUAGAAUAACUGCCAAUAGUCACCCAUUUGUUUUUAGAUUCACUGAUGUUGCUUAUAUUUUCCAGGACCAUCGUGUGUUGCAUCUCUUGUGCUCCUAUAAAUGAAUGCUAAACAGUCCCUGAAUCAUGUGCGCAUCUGACGGAAGAGGCACUAGCAAUUGCAGCAAGGACAUAUGAUGUUGAAUUCUUCGCGACAUUCCACCCCAAACAACUCCCAUAAAACCUCGGGUGCUUCGACCCCCUAUGUUUUACUUAUGUACUAAGCGGCUAUUAAGAUUAUGACUUAUUUAUAUGUUUCCAUUAACUGUAUAAUUGUUCAAUCGCCAGACUAAUAAUUGUCCACC
Molecule: long non-coding RNA, 1443 nt
Filed under: Brassica napus (rape)
Lineage: Eukaryota; Viridiplantae; Streptophyta; Magnoliopsida; Brassicales; Brassicaceae
Description: long non-coding RNA (BNAP_LNC006279)
Source: RNAcentral